CACCCGAGACUCAGUGAAAUUGAACUCGCUGUGAAGAUGCAGUGUACCCGCGGCAAGACGGAAAGACCCCGUGAACCUUUACUAUAGCUUGACACUGAACAUUGAGCCUUGAUGUGUAGGAUAGGUGGGAGGCUUUGAAGUGUGGACGCCAGUCUGCAUGGAGCCGACCUUGAAAUACCACCCUUUAAUGUUUGAUGUUCUAACGUGGACCCGUAAUCCGGGUUGCGGACAGUGUCUGGUGGGUAGUUUGACUGGGGCGGUCUCCUCCUAAAGAGUAACGGAGGAGCACGAAGGUUGGCUAAUCCUGGUCGGACAUCAGGAGGUUAGUGCAAUGGCAUAAGCCAGCUUGACUGCGAGCGUGACGGCGCGAGCAGGUGCGAAAGCAGGUCAUAGUGAUCCGGUGGUUCUGAAUGGAAGGGCCAUCGCUCAACGGAUAAAAGGUACUCCGGGGAUAACAGGCUGAUACCGCCCAAGAGUUCAUAUCGACGGCGGUGUUUGGCACCUCGAUGUCGGCUCAUCACAUCCUGGGGCUGAAGUAGGUCCCAAGGGUAUGGCUGUUCGCCAUUUAAAGUGGUACGCGAGCUGGGUUUAGAACGUCGUGAGACAGUUCGGUCCCUAUCUGCCGUGGGCGCUGGAGAACUGAGGGGGGCUGCUCCUAGUACGAGAGGACCGGAGUGGACGCAUCACUGGUGUUCGGGUUGUCAUGCCAAUGGCACUGCCCGGUAGCUAAAUGCGGAAGAGAUAAGUGCUGAAAGCAUCUAAGCACGAAACUUGCCCCGAGAUGAGUUCUCCCUGAGACUUAGAGUCUCCUGAAGGAACGUUGAAGACGACGACGUUGAUAGGCCGGGUGUGUAAGCGCAGCGAUGCGUUGAGCUAACCGGUACUAAUGAACCGUGAGGCUUAACCUUACA
This 911-nucleotide ribosomal RNA is filed under the name Salmonella enterica. RNAcentral's name for it is "partial 23S ribosomal RNA". It matches the Rfam family "Bacterial large subunit ribosomal RNA", at positions 2023 to 2925 of the family's 2925-position model. The record is from RNAcentral. Lineage: Bacteria; Pseudomonadati; Pseudomonadota; Gammaproteobacteria; Enterobacterales; Enterobacteriaceae.